CCGAUCUAACAACGACAUGCACAUCCAUUUUGUGGUUGGAAACAUCCAAACGCACACGUAUGAAUUAAAGAAAAAUCGAAAAAUAAAGUAAGAAACAGGAAAGCAAAAAACAUCUUGAUUUUUAGACGAGCUCUUUUUGAUCUACAAAGUUGGUACCGAAAGAAGAGAAAUUGGCUAUGUGGUACGAAGGAAAGUCUAAAGUACUACGAAGCGAUAGUAAGUUUUAGUUUCCUCCUUAGUUACCAAACCUGUUGUUACUACUGCAAACUAAAAAAAAGAACCACAUCUACCGAUUAUACUUAUUAAUAUAAUCCUGACGACGCUACAUGCCAUAGUACAUUACAACGAAGUGCUACGUAAGCUGGUAGUUCUUAGUCAUAACCGUCGUUUCAUUGUUUCCAAUGGCGCACUAACGCGUAGUGUACACCAUCACUACUAGGAACGAUCUAACUUCCACAAGGGUGUACAGUACGCCUUAAUUCGUCAUCCGUCCUUUGUUCGGUGAUCGUGUUCGUAUUCGCUUGGUUAAGAUCCUCUCGUGGAGAACGCUAAAUGUUUACAUGAAGCCUAAGAUCGUCUCCUGCUGCCGAGCACGCCACCACAGCCGUUUGCUACCGGAGUCACCCACCUGCGGCUGUGUACGUCGACCACGUGCUACCACUGAAGUACCUCGAGUACAAGGUUCGUUGGGAGAGGAACAACCGAGUCCUCCAAGCGCUAGCUCGAACCCGACGACUAUGGAGAAGGAGCGGCGGGUUGUCCUUAUCGUACUCUACUCGUCGGUUAGGGAGUAAGGAUCGAAAGUAUGGUUCUAAGACACGUGGCCAAGGGGAUGCCAACUUCUACCUCUCGGUAACCAUCAUCUCUCCCCCUUCCCUACAUCUCUGCCUUCGUCGAAGUGAACGGGGCAGAGGGUGGGGUAACGGCUACGUCGCCAGCUUCCUCAACGCCUGGAGCGGUUGUUCGGACACUGGGACGUAGUCCAAACAGAAGGCCAAGAAAAGUCGCUACCGAACUACAUGCGUGACCUUUGGAGGAUACCGUUCAUAAACCGUACGGAGACAAACUCUCUACUCUACACUUCUUUACCGCAAGUCCCUCUUCCUCGUCCGCAACUCCUCACGCUCGUUGUCCAAAACCACUGACCUACAGACUUUGACUUCUCUCCCUUUAAUAAUAAACAAAGACUAACCAACCUCUAGAACACCGAACAACAGGGACCUCGUCAGCGUGGGAUGGUUCUUUCCUAGGGUUGUCUUCCCGAAGACCUACGAUGAUGCGUUAUCGAACCGGAACGUUUACGUUACAUGAAUUGUGUCUUCCGUUCCUGCCAACCAAAACUGUGUUGGUAAAUCAAUAUAGGUAGAUUCUUGGUUGAUCUAUUGACUGAAGGUUCCUUUAGUUAUAGGUAGAUACACAUGCCUUUUGAGCUUCUCCGACUUCUAGCUGACCUUUGAUUUCGAGAGUUCAUGUACCUUCCUAGAAUGUCAUCCCACAACGUUCUGAAGGUUGACACUGGUCGACGUCAACCAAGUCGUUUUUAUAUUUAGAGACCUCGUAGUUGUCGUUUUUAUAUUUAGAGAUCUCGUAGUUGUCUUUCUUUUGCUAUCUUUUAUCUGAUAAACUCGUCGUCGACCACGUCAUCAGACUCAUCUCUAAAGUACCAUCGCUUCCUUGAAACGGCAUAUUAACUCCGGUUUAAGUGUCUUCCUAGUUGUGGGCUUCUGUUGUUAGACUUAGCAUAAAGAGUAUCUAUUCUAUACAACGAUUAGUAGAAUUACUAUGUUGAAAUGUUACUCUGUAACAUGUUUUUUGUUUGUUCAUAAAAACCUCAGACCUACUACUAUGGCUUCCUUAAAGACGAAAUCCGUUACUGCCGGAUGGUUAGUGUGGGUGGUACUUCUCAACGAAUCUGUUGCUUCAGUUAAAGCUAUGGCUACCGUGUACGUCGCUACUGAAAUAGACUACAGGUAGUGAAGUAUUGGUAGAGAUCGAUACACGAAACGAACGAUUAUUGUAACAUUUAUUAGAUAACAUUUGAAGAACCUUGUGAUACAUAGUCGUGACUCAUAGGUAAAGGAAUAGAAGAUUAGUCACAGAUUUAUUAAAAUACACGUACCAAAUUUGAAUAUGAUGAUGUUAAACGAAAUAUUUUAGUUACAUACAAUAAUAGUUCACUGGAGUAUGAAAGAAAACUAGACAGUACCACGGUACAUUAUUCAAUAUUCGACUAAGACUUCGUCAGUGUAUACGUACCAAACUUAUGAGCCGAGCGGGAACGGAAAACACGGUGGUAAGGAAUAACGUAUAUACGAAGAAUGAGAUGUGUACUUAUUCACUAACGAUAUAUCUACAGACAAAGGUACACAAAAGGAUAAAAGAACCUUGAACUUUCUGUCAUAUACGUAGACAGGAUGAAGUCAAACUUGUUCGAUUUUUAGGACAAUAAGAGUUUCAAAAAUAGUAGAUAGUCAUAUACGUCCAUAUAACUACCUUGUACGUAGUUACUGAGACGGAUUACAACUACUGAUGUACAAAACUAGACUGUAUAGUUGUCUUCUAUUUUUUGAGUUGGUGCUCGACUUUCUAAUCCCGAUAGAUAUACUAUAUACCGAUGGAUAUAUCGAACGAAAGAUUUUGGUUACAUAUUCGAUAGUACUUGACACGACUGUUGAAAAAAAACCUGAUGGUACGAUGGAGGAAAUACAUCUACCUUCUCCGUUCUAGUUAGACUUCCCGAACCCCAUGAUGUUAUUGAAUUAUCUACACAACUAUACCGUGUCAUUUCUAACUAAAGAGAUAGAUUUUGACUACAUUUCUACAACGUCAUCACUGUUCGAAAGAAAAGGAAUAACGUUCGAACGCUCUAAGUGAAGCUACAGACUAGAGCUAGUUGGAUAUGAAGAACCGUACACAACGUCCGUAUGUUAGAGUACAGUGUUAGAUGCUCAACCUAGAGAGAGCCAAGUAAGUCCUACUAAUGUUCCUGACGAGUCGGGGUGGUACUUCUCAACGAAUUUGCUACUUUAGCACAAGCCAUGUAUACCCUGUAGGUUGUUACUGAUGGAUUAUGUUGGUGAAAAUACAGAACCAGAAAGAACGACCGUCGUCUAUGUUCUGAGUCGCUUUACAAUUCUCUAUUCGUGAUAUAGAUACUAUGUAGAUACGAUUAUAUUGAACGAACUAUUUCGGUUACAUUCGAUAGUAGUUCACUAGAGUAUAAAAAAAAAACUCGAUAGUACGAUGGUACAUUAUCUUGUAUGUUUGUACACAUGGAUUCAUAGAUGUUACAAACUCUUUCGCCAUUCGCAUUCGCCUCGCCUUCCGGUGUCGAAUCUCGUUAACGGCGAAUUCGCGUCGAAUUGGCCC
This 3369-nucleotide ribosomal RNA is filed under the name Triticum aestivum (bread wheat). Its description in RNAcentral is "partial small subunit ribosomal RNA". The record is from RNAcentral. Lineage: Eukaryota; Viridiplantae; Streptophyta; Magnoliopsida; Poales; Poaceae.